UACUUUUCUAUUGCUGGGAUAAAACACCAUGACCAAAGCAAGUUAUAGAAGGGUUUAUCUGGGCUUAUGACUCCUGGGCUGGAGUCUAUAGCCAUGGAUUGAAGACAAGGCAGCAGGCAGUCAGAGCAACUGAGAGCUCACAUCCUAAUCUAUAAGCCUUAGGCAGAGAGUAUACUGGAAAUGGUGGGAGGCUUUGACACAUCAAGACCACACCUUCUAACCCUUCCCAACCAGUUCCACCAACUGAGGACCAAGCAGUCAAACACACAAACCAUGAGGGUUAUCCUCAUUCAAGCCACCACAGUUGGUUUUCAUCCUAUUAUGGUCAACUACAUGGGUGCAAAUGGGAGACUGGAGAAAUGGCAACUUACAGGUGGGGAUGCCAGCAGCCCUGAACUGCCCAUAGCUCUGCAGAAAGGGGUGGAGCUUUAUGAAGCUUUCCCGCAUCCAUAACGGAAUCUUGAUGAACCCAAUUUCGUGCUUGUAACAUGACAGUUGGGUUCAAAAGAGAGCUUCCUGUAGUAUGUCUUUCUGUUAGCUCUAACCUUUCAUACACUCCCACAAUAUUUCUGCCCUUGAAGGGGGGGUUAUAGAUGACCAUUUAGGGCAGAGCUCUCAAAGCCUCCUCUCCUCAGGACUGGGAUUGGUCAUAAAUUAAUAAUUGUCCACUGCAAACAAAUCUCUUUCAUCAAGGUUAGGAGUAACACGAAUCAGGGAAACAUAUUUAGAAGGCAGUUUGAUAUCAUGACCAUAUAACAACGGUAAAGUGAUCUCUCCAGAAAGAUUCUAGCCAGUUUUCUAGUACCAGGCUCUUAUGAAACAGGCCUCAAAUAUAGUAGGGGGAGAAUGGUUUGCUAGCCACACAUCAGUCAUGCCUCAGUGGGUACACCUUACCUAGCAGGUUGCUACUGUAGCCCAUAGGGUUCACAGCUAGAUGAGACCAUGGGUGACUCUUCCUCCCUAACAGCCAGCCUGUGUAGCAUUAUGAAAGCUAAUCGGCAAGGAGGAUACCUAUUGCCCAGCUCCAGCUUGCUCUCCCUAUGUCCUACAAUCAAAGUGUGUGGUGUCUUUAGUACUAGGAAUUUAUCUUCUAGCCCAAGUGGGUAACCAUGAGCAAUGGAAACAGCUUGUGUUGUUUGUGAGGGUAGGGGUUGUUUCUGGGACCUCCUUGACCAGUAAGGAGGCGUCCUAUAUACCACAUUGAAACUUGUUUAAUAACCUAGGGCUUUUGGAAGUAUUGUCUUUCCAUGUGGAGCACUUCCUUUCAAACUUCCUUACGUAUUUUUUUUUCAAUAUCUAACAAAGCAAUAGGACUCAAUAUGGCUUUUUCGGACCUUAGUUUGGGUAACCUUUCCCCACCCCAACCUUUCUAUUUAAACCCUUCCCCUUCCCGCAUUCCCUCCCUCUACGUUGAUGUCACGUGUGUGGUAUUAUGUCCCUACCCUAAGGCCUCUUCAUACCCCAGGCUGGUCUUGAACUCACUAUGUAGCCAAGGAUAACCUUGAACCUAUGAUCUUCCUGCCUCUCCCUCCCUAUAUCUAGUGUUAUAGCAGAGGUUCUCAACCUGUGGCUCUCAAUCUCUUUGUGGCUGAAUGACCACUUCACAGGGGUCAUCGAAGACCAUCAGAAAACACUGACGUUUACAUUACUAUUCAUAACAGUAGCAAAAUUACAGUCACAAAGUCGCAACAAAAUGGUUUUAUGGUUGGGACUGUAUUAAAGGGUCACAGCAUUAGGAAGGUUGAAACCACUGUGUUAGAGGCUUGCGCCACCAUACACGUGGUGCUGGGAAUCAGGUUUAGGGCUUUGUGCAUUCCAGACAAACUGUCAAUUGAGCUAUGUCUCCAGCUCCUGCUUUCAUUUGAAUUACCUUACCCACAUGUAGUUAUCCCUGUUCUCUAUAUCAUGAAUUUAAAACAAAUGUUUCUUGAGAUAGGGUCUUCCUUUGUAACCUUAGUUAGCCUCAAUUUCUGUUAACCUACCCAUCAUCGCCUCCUGCGUACUGAGACUAAAGACGUGCACUACGACGCCAACCUUGGAUGAUUUUAUUGUCGUUAUGUGAUAAAUAAUACAGCAUGACAACUGUUUACGUGCAUUUCAUGGUAUUAGGCAUUUAAAAUUAGAGGUGAUUUCAAGCUGGUGGUGACCCACCACACCCUGUCCUUCGGUCACCUUAAGGAAGUAGUCUCAACUGUCAGGAGGCUAAGGAAGAAGGCUGAAGGGAUUAAGGCUGACCUGGAGUACACAGUCUCAAAAUAAAGUCCUGGGCUCCAUCCCUGGCAGGUCACUAAAUAAGUACAUGCACAAGAGAAUGUGCACAGACUGUAUGGAGGUCCAUCCUUUGUAAGAGCAUCUGCCCAUCCUGGUACCUGAAAAAUGUCUCAGGAAAAUCUCCCCUGGGCACAGCUGAUGACUGCAUUAUGUUUUUUCUUUCUUUUCUUCUUUUCUGAGUGUAUGUGUAUGUAUGGGGGGAGGGGGUGUCUUUCUCUGUUGCCCAAGCUGGACUGGAACCCAUAAACAGCACAAGCUGGCUCAGAACUUACAGCAAUCCUUCUGCCUCAGUCUCUCCACUGUUGGCGCUGGAAUUAUAGGCCUGCCCCCUACAAUGCCUAGUUUUAUAUUGGGCUGUUUUUAUAAUUAAAGAUAACAAGGACAAUCAAGAUUCCCCCAAAAUAUAGCCUCUGUGAUUACUAAGCAAGAACUAGGCAUAGAAGCCUCUUUUUGAAGACUAUUAGUAUAUGUCUACAAGUCAGAGACUAUGACACUUCCUGGGAAUUGGACCAGGAUCUCUCAGGAAGAAUAGCCAGUGCCCCUAACCACUGAGCCAUCUCCCCAGCCACUGUCUUACCUCCAUGAGUGAAGUCUUAAUCCCAGUACCAACAAACAGCAGACCGAAACAAAAGGGUGGGGAUUUUCUGAAAGCAGCCUGAACUACCCAGGAAAACCCCAAGAAAAAUAAACAAAUAGGAGAAGAUGGAUAAGUGGUAGAACACUGGCUUGGUCCGUGUGAACCUGGGUUCACCUCCCAGUGUAAUAGAAGGAAUUGCCUAGCCCGACUUUUCAGUAAUGUAUUGCAUUUCUUUUCUUUCUCCUUUUCUUGAUAAAAAUGCAGCCCUUAAAGCUCUGCUCAAAAUACUGCUCGGGAUUACAUCAUUAUGGUUUCAAUGAGCCAAAAAUUCUACUUCCCUCUAUUACCCAGAAUAAUAACUCUUAAGAGCUAAGAACUUCAAAGCACUUCACGAGCAUUUAAUUAGUCCUCUCUGGUGCCAAAGAGAAGGACAUAGAUAUUCACAGAACUUCAUCUGACAUCGUUCAAUUUGGCGAGACUUCUGCUGGCUUCGAAAAGCCGUGUCUGUCCCACGAAGGUUAUUUGGGCCACUUGCAUCAGUCGCCCUUACCUAAUGAAACCUGGUAAUCCAAGCGGUUCGAAUUGCCAUCUCCUUGGACUCUGGUAGGGCAAGGGAGCCGCUGAAAGCCCGGAAGAGAAAGGGCAGCGAUUCCUCUGAGAGCAGGAAAACAAAGCGCAUCUGUGGGGAACCUGUGAGAUGGGGCGCGUGAUUGAGGCCGGAGCGAUUGCAUCAGCGUCUGAUUGACUCCCUGGAACUGGGGCAGGAUGGUAACCAGGCUCUUCUCAGAACUCAGCUCUCCUGAGGCCCUGAGCACUGGCAGCCGGGCUCCACUGUGCUCAUAGCUUACCUCCAGUGCGUGGGAAGCUCCUGGGCACCCUUUUCUCUCUAUUCAGACUAGCUUCCUGCGGAAGGUCUAACGAAAAUAGAGCAGCCAGUCCGGGAGACCCAGUCCAGAGGUGACUGCCUUCUCAUAGCUUCCCCACCCCCGUCAAAAGCUAGUCCAGUUCUUAACAUUCCCACCAAGUGAUCUGUUACACAAUAGCAGGAAUGGCAUCAAACCUUACUUUUUUUUAGACUAAUAUCUUGAUUUGUAGUACAGGCUGGUCUUGAACUCCCUGUAGAGUUCAGGCUGACCUUGAUCUCUUGGCAAUCCUCCUUCCUGCCUCAACCUCAAGUUCUGGAAUUACAGGCUUGUGUCACUAAGCCCAACUUCAGAUUUUUUUUAGGUAUAUGUAAGCAUUAGUAUAUGUAAGCGUUUUGUCCACAUAUAUGUAUGUGUGUGCUUGGUGCAAUUAAAGGUCAGAAGAGGGUAUUAGAUCCCAUGGACUGGAGUCAUAGUACUUGGAACCACCAUGUUAUGGUGGGAAUAGAACUCAGGUCCUCUGCAAGAGUAACAAAUGCUCUUAACUGCUCUACUCCCCAUCUUCAGAUCUUAUUUUCAAUUUUGAUGCAAAAAGAUUAAGAAAUGCUUAUUGAGUGUUUAUUUGGGGGAGUCCUGGAUCUGGUAAGGGUCCAUGCCACAAGUGGCUUCAUUGUCAGAAAAUCACUACACUGCAAACCCACUGGUGGAGGCUCCAACCAUUGGCCACAGAGAGGCGCUACAGAGCAGAAAGGGCAAGUUCAUCAGGUGCUGUUCCGGGAGAAGGAAGGAAUCAUCCAUUGAUGUUUCUGCUUUGUUUUCCAGUGUGAAAGAUCAAACCCAAGGCCUUGUGCAUGUUAGACAAGCGUUCUACCACGGAACUCCAUGUCCAAUUUUGAUCUUUUUUUUUCAAUCAUUGUCAGAAUAUUCUGCAGAACCACCGACCAUCUAUAUCGUUCCUCAUGUCACGAUUCUCACUUCACAGUUCUGUUCCAAAUUAAAAUGCCUGAUCGUAGGAGUUAGCAGGAACCCUGGUAGGCUCUGUACAACCCACUAGCCAAGACCAGUUUUUACGUUUUUAAGCGAUGAAGAAAAAAUAAUCGCGACACAUGAAAACUACCUGAAGGUACAAUUUUUAGUGUUCAGUAGUAGAUUUUUAUUGUGAUGUGGCCGCACCCAUUCAUUUACAUACUGUCCACUCUGACCAUUGCUACAAUUGUAUACUGGCUUCCUGGACCACGCUGCUUGCCUUAGCUAAAUAUUUACUCUCUUGCUCUUUAUAGAAAGCUUGGCGACCUCUGUUACAGAGUAAACACAUUGAUACAAGGCUUUGAAAGUCUUACAGUCUUAUCGUCUGUCACAAAGGAAUAGUAAACCAGAAGAGAUAAUUUUAAAACCAAAGCACAAGUAAGUAGUGACUAGAAAAGAUAAGUUUAAAAGGCACGUAAACCAUAGGUGCAUCCUCUGGCGAGGCCUCUAGAGGCACUGCUGAGCACAUUGGCUAGGUAAACGUUAUGCGGGCUGAUGGCGAGCGAGCUCAGCAAUAGAGUGGUUCAUGGGAACAAGGUUAAGGGCUUUACACACUAGGUGCUGUCCUAGCCUCCAGACGAUUGACUGACACAGCUUGCUCAAAGUCACACCUGUAGAAAAAGACGCCUUCAGGAUAUUUACCAGGUUUUGGAAUUUCAAGGCUAUGGCAACUUAAACAUUAACCCACGGAUAACUUGACACCCUGGGUAGUACCAAGCCAAAAAGCCCAUUCUGUAAUCUGUUCUCAGAAGAACAGGGCCUAGGCCAGGGAGUGAGCAUACACAGAGUCCUGCUGUCCUGUGGUCCGUCUGUGCAAGCUAAGCAGGAAAGAUAUGGUGCCAUCUAGGGGUGCACAAACAGGUUUAAUUUCUCCUCCAAUUAAAGACCUAAAUCUUGGAGAGUCCUGGCAGAGCCAUCAUAUGAUACUGGGAAAAUCACCUCUUAGGGUUCUCAGUCUCGUGUUUUUUUUUUUUUUUUGUUUGUUUGUUUUUUUUUUAAUAGAUUCAAAUAGAAGAGGAUAGUUUAUUAGAGUUUAGAAGAAAAACCUCAAGGCAGGCAAGUGGUCAAUCUCACAGUUGCAAGGAAGAAGAGAGAGGAGAUGCUAAGUCAGCUCGGAGAGUCACUACAUGGCUGCAGGCAGCCACACAGCCAGGAAGGGAGCUCAGGAGAAAAAGAAAGGCUGUCCACAGAUAUACCUCCUUCUUAACGUGCUGAUGCACCACAGGCUCAACACUCAACCUGUCUCAGAGGGGAGCCUCCAAAGGGCUUUAAAAAACAUGUAGGUUCCCACCAGCACCAAAAACAAAAACAAGAAGGAAUAGUCAUGCCCUUCUGAAAUAGUACUCAGGAAGGCAGGCCAACCCAGCUGAACAUCAUAGAGAAGGAGAAGACCUGGGUAUCUGGGUAUGUUAACCAAGCAGUAGCGGUUACAUGCACGAGUGUGCGCAUGUGCGCGCGCACACACACACACACAUAAAAACAGACAUGUGAGGGGAGUCACUGGGGAUCCCACCUCUGGUAAAGUGCUUGUGUCGAUUUUGCAAGGACAUGGCUCCAAUCUCAAGUGCGGCAGAACAGAUCCUCAACUAACAGAAAACAUCAGCAGAAACACACUCUCGCUCUGAGGACAGAUGUCCAUGAGGCCUCAAGUAAAAGAGAGGCUCCAACCGCCUUGUUUCAGAUGCUUCUCAAGGAUACUUGUGCGGUGAGCAGCCUUUGAAGGCAGAGAUGGUGCCUCCGUCAGCACAGGGAGUGGGGAUGCUUAAGCUUCAGAAGAGAGAAAAUGCACCUCACUGACCAGCAAGGGGAAGGACCUGAGGCCCCUACACCAGGAUGCCUCUACUGUAGGGUCACAGGCUGCAAAUGUGACUGUCGCUUGGCCCUGGGCUUGGAGAACUGAUGGGAGAAAAUGUUCUGGCAAGGGAAGCUUUAUUUUAAUAAAACUCUACUUCUGUUCAGGGGUUUCAUGUCUUCCAGACCUCCAUGAAUCUACAGAGCAGCCAGCUAGCCUGCAGGUGAGGUCAUAUGGCGAACCUUUUCUACUUCCCAACAAGUUCCGGUAACAUACUUUCGCGUGCGCACGCACACUGCCAGCACCCGGGCCAGCAGCCCUGCAGCCCACGUGACCAGACAGUGGCACUGCAUCAGCAUCGCGUGUCUAAGCUCUGCAGUACAAUGAUCUCAUCGAUGCCUCCUCGUCUCCAGAGGAGGGAAGACAGUCUGGGGCCUCACCCUGCCCUUUGUGCCCCCUCGUUGGUUCAUAUUGCUGCCCACUCUGUGGUGCCCCGGUGUUUGUGAGUUCUCUUCCGCAACCCUGGCAGAGUAGUAAGGGAGUUUCUGUUCUCAUGGGACAGAAUGUAAUAACUAUGCCUACUUAGUUGUAUGGUAAAGCAAUUUCAAACACUAAAAAUAAAAUGUAAUUCAUUAUAAUGUCAAAAA
Molecule: non-coding RNA, 7176 nt
Organism: Rattus norvegicus (Norway rat)
Lineage: Eukaryota; Metazoa; Chordata; Mammalia; Rodentia; Muridae
Source: RefSeq, a predicted model, not a curated record